Molecule: ribosomal RNA, 305 nt
Filed under: uncultured bacterium
Lineage: Bacteria
Description: bacterial SSU rRNA
Rfam family: Bacterial small subunit ribosomal RNA
Source: RNAcentral
CCUACGGGGCGCAGCAGUGGGGAAUAUUGGGCAAUGGGCGCAAGCCUGACCCAGCAACGCCGCGUGAAGGAAGAAGGCUUUCGGGUUGUAAACUUCUUUUAAGAGGGGAGAGCAGAAGACGGUACCUCUUGAAUAAGCCACGGCUAACUACGUGCCAGCAGCCGCGGUAAUACGUAGGGGGCAAGCGUUAUCCGGAAUCACUGGGUGUAAAGGGAGCGUAGACGGCUGUGCAAGCCUGAAGUGAAAGGCGGGGGCCCAACCCCUGGACUGCUUUGGGAACUGUACGGCUGGAGUGCAGGGGAGGG